CCUACGGGAGGCAGCAGUAGGGAAUCUUCCACAAUGGACGAAAGUCUGAUGGAGCAACGCCGCGUGAGUGAAGAAGGGUUUCGGCUUGUAAAGCUCUGUCGGCAGUGAAGAAAGAUAGAGGUAGUAACUGGCCUUCAUUUGACGGUAAUUACUUAGAAAGUCACGGCUAACUACGUGCCAGCAGCCGCUGUAAUACGUAGGUGGCAAGCGUUGUCCGGAUGUAUUGGGCGUAAGGGGAGUGCAGGCGGUUCAAUAAGUCUGAUGUGAAAGCCGUCGGCUCAACCGGAGUAUUGCAUCAGAAACUGUUGAACUUGAGUGCAGGAGAGGUAAGUGGAACUCCAUGUGUAGCGGUGGAAUGCGUAGAUAUAUGGAAGAACACCAGUGGCGAAGGCGGCUUUCUGGUCUGCAACUGACGCUGAGGCUCGAAAGCAUGGGUAGCGAACAGGAUUAGAUACCCGGGUAGUC
This 465-nucleotide ribosomal RNA is filed under the name uncultured bacterium. RNAcentral describes it as "partial 16S ribosomal RNA". It matches the Rfam family "Bacterial small subunit ribosomal RNA", at positions 338 to 795 of the family's 1533-position model. The record is from RNAcentral.